RNAcentral lists this ribosomal RNA (468 nucleotides) under uncultured bacterium. Its description in RNAcentral is "bacterial SSU rRNA". It matches the Rfam family "Bacterial small subunit ribosomal RNA", at positions 355 to 825 of the family's 1533-position model. The record is from RNAcentral.
UCGAGAAUCUUCCGCAAUGGACGAAAGUCUGACGGAGCGACGCCGCGUGCGGGAUGAAGGCCCUUGGGUUGUAAACCGCUGUCAGAGGGGAUGAAAUCUUCGGAGGUACUCCUCCGAAGUUGACAGAGCCUCAAAGGAAGCACGGGCUAAGUACGUGCCAGCAGCCGCGGUAACACGUACUGUGCGAACGUUAUUCGGAAUCACUGGGCUUACAGGGUGCGUAGGUGGCUUGAUAAGCAGGGUGUGAAAUCCCUCGGCUCAACCGAGGAACUGCGCUUUGAACUGUCGAGCUAGAGUAUGCUAGAGGUGAAUGGAACAUCCAGUGGAGCGGUGAAAUGUGUUGAUAUUGGAUGGAACACCAGAGGCGAAGGCGAUUCACUGGGGCAUAACUGACACUGAGGCACGAAAGCCAGGGAGCAAACGGGAUUAGAUACCCAGGUAGUCCCUGAGCGGGCUGGCAAGGCGCAU